This 274-nucleotide ribosomal RNA is filed under the name uncultured Prevotella sp. Its description in RNAcentral is "partial 16S ribosomal RNA". It matches the Rfam family "Bacterial small subunit ribosomal RNA", at positions 68 to 339 of the family's 1533-position model. Lineage: Bacteria; Pseudomonadati; Bacteroidota; Bacteroidia; Bacteroidales; Prevotellaceae. The record is from RNAcentral.
ACAUCGAAAGCUUGCUUUUGAUGGGCGUCGACCGGCGCACGGGUGAGUAACGCGUAUCCAACCUGCCCAUCACUUGGGGAUAACCUUGCGAAAGUAAGACUAAUACCCAAUGACGUCUCUAGAAGACAUCUGAAAGAGAUUAAAGAUUUAUCGGUGAUGGAUGGGGAUGCGUCUGAUUAGCUUGUUGGCGGGGUAACGGCCCACCAAGGCUACGAUCAGUAGGGGUUCUGAGAGGAAGGUCCCCACAUUGGGACUGAGAUACGGCCCAGACUCC